RNAcentral lists this unclassified non-coding RNA (283 nucleotides) under Paraglomus sp. RNAcentral's name for it is "partial contains 5.8S ribosomal RNA and internal transcribed spacer 2". The record is from RNAcentral. Lineage: Eukaryota; Fungi; Glomeromycota; Glomeromycetes; Paraglomerales; Paraglomeraceae.
GUGAAUCAUCGAAUUUUUGAACGCAAAUUGCGCCGUUUGCGGAAGGCAUGACUGUUUGAGGGCACCAUUUAACAACUAUUGUGCAGCGUUUUUUGUUGCACACGUUGAUGAGCUUUCCAAGAAUUUUAAAUUUUUGGUGGCGCAUAAUUAACAGCUUUAAAGGUUUUUGCAUUUCGGGUGUAGUCAAAUCUUUUCUUAGGUUGUGAAAAUACAUAAUCGCUCAUUGUGGGUGGCUAUUUCUUUGUAUCCCUGCCACAAUGCCACUCUUUCGCAUGAGAGAAUG